GGAAGGAUCAUUACCGAAUUGUCAAACACGGGUUGUUGCUGGCCCCCGAACGGGGCAUGUGCACGCUCUGUUUACACAUCCACUCACACCUGUGCACCCUCUGUAGUUCUGUGGACCGGGAGACAUUGUCUUCCUUCCGUAGCUCUACGUCUUUACACACACACCGUAGCGAUGUCUCAUGGAAUGUUUUUUCGCGUUUAACGCAAUACAAUACAACUUUCAGCAACGGAUCUCUUGGCUCUCGCAUCGAUGAAGAACGCAGCGAAAUGCGAUAAGUAAUGUGAAUUGCAGAAUUCAGUGAAUCAUCGAAUCUUUGAACGCACCUUGCGCCCCUUGGUUAUUCCUCGGAGCAUGCCUGUUUGAGUAUCAUGAACACCUCAACUCUCAUGGUCUUCCAUGAUGAGCUUGGACUUUGGGGGUUUGCUGGCCUUGUGGCCGGCUCCUCUCAAAUGAAUCAGCUUGCCAGUGUUUGGCGGCGUCACGGGUGUGAUAACUAUCUACGCUCGUGGUUGUCCGUCAGGUAACCCUCAGCGAUGAAGGUUCAUUGGGGCUCAUAAACGUCUCUCCCCAGCGAGGACAACUUUUGAACGUUCGAUCUCAAAUCA
Molecule: ribosomal RNA, 605 nt
Filed under: uncultured fungus
Lineage: Eukaryota; Fungi
Description: eukaryotic LSU rRNA
Rfam family: 5.8S ribosomal RNA (bases 215-369)
Source: RNAcentral